This is a long non-coding RNA of Leopardus geoffroyi (Geoffroy's cat), 1276 nucleotides long. RefSeq lists it as uncharacterized. Lineage: Eukaryota; Metazoa; Chordata; Mammalia; Carnivora; Felidae. The transcript is spliced from 2 exons. The record is from RefSeq and is a predicted model, not a curated record.
GUCGAACAUGUUCUCCAUGUCGAUGAAGUUUGUCUGGAUCAUCCUGCAAAAACAGUGCUGGCUGGGGCUCCUCUGAGGAGCUGGGGAAAGAACUGUGCAUCCUCAACAGUGACCACAAUGGUCAGGACUGCGAGGGACAGGAGGAGGAGGGAGAAGCGAUCAAGACAUCACCCCAAACCAGAGACCACAAGAGGAUGUCUGCUAUCUGCCACAUACACGUGAACCCUGUACUACAGGCCAGGGACCCAGAUUCCCAAAGGGAAAGAGCACUAAGCUCCCUGAGGGAAGGGGCUGUGACAGAGACACCUUUGCAGCCUAUGCAAAGCCUUGCGUGUGAAAAUGCUUCAUUGGUGGCCAAGUGAAGCCAAGCUGCAUCUGGUUACACAAAUGAGGUUUCUCCUUGCCCUGUACCCACAGCAAGCCCCUAAUGUGACCAGGAUGCCCUUCCCUGGCCCUCCAUCCAGGCUGAGCUAAGGUUCCCCUGGCAGAGGAGGAGGCCAACCCAUCAUGUUGGGGAGCAGCAGGAGCUUAUUCAAGUCCACUGAUCUACAACCUCCCCGUGGUGGGCCACCUGAGUGGGGGCAGGACUCAUGCCCAAGGGAGUCCCUGGCAUAGUUCCGGGAGACGCCUUCACCAAGCAGCACUCACUGAGGUAAAGACUCAUGCACAGGAACACAAUGAGGCCAAACCAGGCGUUGAAGAACAUGCUGAAGUAGAUGAUGCCAAUGGUGAUGUCAGCCAGGGUGGGGAGGACGUUGAACACCAGGUAGCUAGGAGGGCAAGUCAAGUGACAAAGAAAGGUUUAGGGGCUUAGAGCCAGCAACUCUGCCUCCAGGAAUUUCAGCGUGGUGUUUUCUUUUUCUUUUUUCUUUUAAACGUUUAUUUAUCUUCAAGACAGAGAGAGAGAGUGCACGCACGCACAUUCGUGCAUGAGUCGGGAUGGGGCAGAGGGAGAGGGAGACAGAGAAUUCAAAGCAGGCUUCGCACUAUCAGUGCAAAGUCCGACGUGGGGCUCAAACUCACGAACCGAGUUAUCAUGACCCGAGCGAAGUCAGAUGCUCAGCCAACCGAGCCACCCAGGCACCCUAGUGUUUUCUUUUUCAAUAGCAACAGACCAGAAUCAAGCUAACUAACCCUCAAGAGGUGGGUGGCUAAGUAAACUGUACCUGCCCCAAGCACAGAAUGCCAUGUCAAUUAGAAUGAAUGAGAGGGAGCUUCAUGCAUAGUAAGAAUAUAUCUCUCUAAUGUCUUAUUAAUAAAGCAACUCUAAGAAUGA